Molecule: ribosomal RNA, 573 nt
Filed under: Wolbachia endosymbiont of Bemisia tabaci
Lineage: Bacteria; Pseudomonadati; Pseudomonadota; Alphaproteobacteria; Rickettsiales; Anaplasmataceae
Description: bacterial SSU rRNA
Rfam family: Bacterial small subunit ribosomal RNA
Source: RNAcentral
UGGUGGAGUAAUAGCCUACCAAGGCAAUGAUCUAUAGCUGAUCUGAGAGGAUGAUCAGCCACACUGGAACUGAGAUACGGUCCAGACUCCUACGGGAGGCAGCAGUGGGGAAUAUUGGACAAUGGGCGAAAGCCUGAUCCAGCCAUGCCGCAUGAGUGAAGAAGGCCUUUGGGUUGUAAAGCUCUUUUAGUGAGGAAGAUAAUGACGGUACUCACAGAAGAAGUCCUGGCUAACUCCGUGCCAGCAGCCGCGGUAAUACGGAGAGGGCUAGCGUUAUUCGGAAUUAUUGGGCGUAAAGGGCGCGUAGGCUGAUUAAUAAGUUAAAAGUGAAAUCCCGAGGCUUAACCUUGGAAUUGCUUUUAAAACUAUUAAUCUAGAGAUUGAAAGAGGAUAGAGGAAUUCCUGAUGUAGAGGUAAAAUUCGUAAAUAUUAGGAGGAACACCAGUGGCGAAGGCGUCUAUCUGGUUCAAAUCUGACGCUGAAGCGCGAAGGCGUGGGGAGCAAACAGGAUUAGAUACCCUGGUAGUCCACGCUGUAAACGAUGAAUGUUAAAUAUGGGAAGUUUACUUUCUG